CCUACGGGAGGCAGCAGUGGGGAAUUUUGGACAAUGGGGGCAACCCUGAUCCAGCCAUUCCGCGUGAGUGAAGAAGGCCUUCGGGUUGUAAAGCUCUUUCGGACGGGAAGAAAUCGCUCAGGCCAAUACCCUGAGUGGAUGACGGUACCGUAAGAAGAAGCACCGGCUAACUACGUGCCAGCAGCCGCGGUAAU
RNAcentral lists this ribosomal RNA (194 nucleotides) under uncultured bacterium. RNAcentral describes it as "partial 16S ribosomal RNA". It matches the Rfam family "Bacterial small subunit ribosomal RNA", at positions 338 to 524 of the family's 1533-position model. The record is from RNAcentral.